Long non-coding RNA from Pungitius pungitius (ninespine stickleback), 1481 nucleotides. RefSeq lists it as uncharacterized. The record is from RefSeq and is a predicted model, not a curated record. The transcript is spliced from 3 exons. NCBI's taxonomy places the organism in Eukaryota, Metazoa, Chordata, Actinopteri, Perciformes, Gasterosteidae.
ACUUGCAGUUGUUAGUUUGUGGGGCCAUGUAACAGGGAGAACACCAAUCUUGUGGGGCCCAGCAACCUUGUGGGGCCCAAAAUGAGGGACCCCACUAGAAUGAUCAUCAUAUAUGGGCUCACAAGCCUCCCCUGACAUGCCUGUCGCUUUUUUAGCACAUGUCUCACAAAGUCAGAAAGUAUGGAAAAGUGUGUGUGAUGUGUGUGUGGAUUUUUUACUCACUAGUGCCCCAAGUGUUGGAAAGGUGGUAUAACAUCACACACACACACUUCCUGGUGUGUGUAAGGGUUCAGCCAAUGAGGGGCCACUAUGAAAUCUCGCGAGAUUUUUCGUGAAGUCAUUAGCGAUAUCUCAUGUCUCAGCAUACCAAAGCCAUGCAGUGUUGGCUGCUCAACUGGGAACUUUGCAGAGAAUAAGGUGACAAACUAUGAGGCCCCUGCUGUGGCUAUAGAGACAGAAGACACCCUUUCAAAUCUGUCUUCCCAUGAGGAAUCCAAUGGAGAGGAAGCCAUAGCCCAGGUAAACAAACUGCUAUCAAAAGAACCUGGACACCCGAGGAAGCGGCAGCGGUGAACCGGCAUCUACGGAGAUGCAUUACCAUGAACAGUGUUCCAGGCAAAGAGGAGUGUCAACAGUGCAUUAAUGCAGACCCUGAAGCUCUCCGAAUGCGAGACUGGAAGGCAUAUAGAAUCACUACUUUGAGACGAAAGUAUAAGUGUGAACUUGCUGAUGCACCGUCAUAUUGACAGUGUUAACAGUCUCUUCUUGUGAGGCCUCUUUGUAGGCAAUGAUAAAGUUAAUCUUGUCCCAGUGACUUUUAUUUCUGAACACUGAACAAUUGUCCAAUGAGUAACUGAAACUAUUCCGCGCCCCCACAAUCAAACGCCCGCAUGGGGAGAUUUUAGCUUUUACUUUACUAAGUUAAUAAAGACAAGAGAACAUAUUAUGUGUUAAGGAGUUUAUUUUAUGCAAUGUCGUUUGAGAAAUGGUACUAGGAAAGCGUUGAGUAGUGUUGAGCUGGAGUUCAUUAUAUUAAUGAAAUUUAAUGCCCCAUAUACCUUAUGAUGAUCUUUGGUUACAAUGACAUCGAGCCCUACAAUGUCUUUGAUAAGCAACAAAAAAUAUGUAAACAUGUUAUUUCCAUCAGAAGACAUUGUGUCUUGCGAAGAUACAAAGUCUAGAAAUGGUUGUCUAGUCUAAGAUAUUAAAACUAGGAUUGUGUAUGUGUGUGUGAAAGAGGGACUCGCAAGUUUUGAAUGUUAGAAACAGAACCCCACAAAGUGACAAAAAAACUAGCAAGAGAAAAAAAGUUCUGAAUUUUAACAAAUUAAAGUGAUGGUAAUUAUAUAGAUUUUUUUUUCAUCUUACUGGAUUUUUUACAAUGUUGUAGCACUGCCAGAAAGGGUGGAUCCCACAUUUGGGUAAAAUAAGUUCGGGCCCUACAAAGGAGGAACACGAGUAUGUGUGUGUGUGUGUGUGUG